GGAAUGAACAAGGGCAGCAUAGAGGUUAGAUGCAAGAUGAGUCAGUUAGGUCACAUCCCUUUUACUGUCAUACUUUUCUCACUCUUACAAUUUUUGCCAAGGCAAUUUCAUUAGAAUAAUCUGCUAACUAAGGGCUCUAUGUAAAGUUGCUGAUUUUCUUUAGAGGUUAGACGGAACUGGGUACCUAAUCUGCACAGGCCAGUGAAAUAUACAAAUGGAAAGCACUUGUUCAAUAAUUUUUAAGCAUUUCAGAUUGUGACAGCAGAGCAUUUAACAAGCAAGGGCCUCUCUAAGCAUUGGGCUCUGUGUGACUGCCCAUAUCACCUGCCCCUGAAGCCUGCCUUGAGGGCUUCACUGGAACAGAUAUGAUUAUAGCAAAUCACUCUGCCCACACCCGAGGCUGCAGCCAGAAACCACGGAAACUGACAGACGCCAGCAAAAAGAAAGAAAAAGUUAAGAAAUUUCUUACCAGUAAUCCUCCUUGGGUUUCUGCCUUAGGACUAGUCAGGUGGAAUCCUACUCUGUCGCCAGGCUGGAGUAUAGUGGUGUGAUCUUGGCUCACUGCAACCUCUGCCUCCCAGGUUCAAGCGAUUCCCCUGCCUCAGGCUCUGGAGUAGCAGCAGCUGGGACUACAGGUCAUAUGAAAUGAUCUGGCCUUCAUGCACAGGUGGACAACCAAAAGUUUAGGAGCCCCAAGAAUAUAGCCAAACAGAAAUGUGAGUUAUACCUCAUUUGCAGCUAGUGAAGUUUUGAUUUUUUGGCUGGUCUGUGGGAGUGGUCUGAAUCUUGGAAGAACUUCGUCUUUCUGUUUCGUCUUUGGAGUCCUUGGUUACAACCAUAGAGAGGCUACGUAGUUUGGUCUUGAGUCACUUGUUAAAUAUAUCUUUAGUUAAGAUUUUGGUUUAUAUUCAGAGAAUAAUUUUUUUUUUAACUUUUCCUUUUUCUGUUUGCUUCCUGCAUUCUCAUUUGAGCUAACAGGAAAUUUUAUAUUCAAAAGAAGAAAUUUGAUUAGUAAUUACCCUGAACUUCUAAAAACUUCCAUUAUUUCUUUGUCUUUUGAGAUGUAAAUUCUCUCUCCAGUCUUACCUGAGAAAUAAUUCCUUUUUAAAUGCAAAUUUCAAGGAAAGAAAAGCCAGGAAACAGAAGUGUUUGCUGUUUGUUUGGCUAAAACCUCUAAUGAGAUAUUUAAAGAUUUCUUUUUUAAGAGCUUUAUGGUCAAAAAUUAACUUAAUUAAAAGCUGAUAUUCAGGCUACAAUUUUUUUAAAAGCCUCCCUGCUUUUUCUGUUUUGGAUCCUGUUUCUACUAUGGAAUUUCUUUUAGUCCACAGAAGCUCCUUUUAAUUAUAUGUUCGUUCCUCUGUCUACUUCCUUUUUUGUUGGCAUGAUUUCUGCUGAGAAUAAUAUAAAACUUUAUCGACCUUUUUGAAAACUCCCCAGUUUGCUGCUUUAGGAUUUGUUCUUCCUUUUACCUCUGCCCCCAUUUCUUUUGUCAUCUUGAUACUCUUUGAGGAAGGAAGAAAAGGUGCCACUGACCCUCUUUUUCCUCCUCACGAAGCCUUAAGAGUGAGAAGUCAGUUCCUCUCAGGUCCAAGGCUCUAUUAUCUUUCAUAUGAAGCUCCCUAAUCUCCUGGCUCUUAGGAGGUGGAGUACCAAGGCUUGCUUUAUAACUGACAAGUCACUGGUAAGAGCUACAAUUUUAAAGGUAACUAACAAUGUUACAGCAACCAGUUAUUACGGCAGAAGGCAAAUUCUUACUUUCUACCUUCUUCAUUUCUUUGCAUGCUUAGGUAAGAAAAGACUCAGGUAUAUGACUAAGUCAGACCCAACUGACAAUCAGACAGUUAUUUGAAACAGGCUUCCGAAUUGUCUUUUAGGUUCAUCUGUAUGUAACCGCCCAAUAGGUUCACCUUGCCUAGACAGAACCGAUUUAUCAAGACAGGGAAAUUGCAAUAGAGAAAGAGUUUCAUUUACACAGAGCUGGCUGUACAGGAGACCAGAGUUUCAUUAUUACUCAAAUCAAUCUUUCUGGAAACAUGAGGAUCAGGGUUUUUGUAGAUAGUUCGGUGGGUAGAGGGUCAGAAAGUGGGGAUUGCUGAUUGGUUGGGUCAGAGGUGAAAUCCUAGGGAGUUGAAGCUGUUCUCUUGUGCUGAAUCUGUUCCUGUGUGGGGGCCACAAGACCAGAUGAGCCAGUUUUUGGAUCUGGGUAGUGCUAGCUGAUCCAUCAAGUGCAGGGUCUGCAAAAUAUCUCAAACAUUGAUCUUAGGUUUUACAAUAGUAAUGUUAUCCCAAGAAACAAUUUGGGAUGUUUAGAAUCUUGCAGCCUCCAACUGCAUGAUUCCUAAACCAUAAUUUCUAAUCUUUUACAUAAUCUGAUAGUCCUGCAAAGACAGUCUGGUCCCCCAGGCAGAAAGGGGGUUUGUUUGGGGAAAGGGCUGUUAUCACCUCUAUUUCAAUGCUAAACUAUAAACUAAGUGUCUCCCAAAAUUAGUUUGACCUAUGCCCAGGAAUGAACAAAGAUAGCUUGGAGGUUAGAAGCUAGAUGGAUUUGGUUAGGUCAAACCUCUUUCGCUAUAAUAAUUGUCUCAGUCAUAUUUUUUGCAAAGGCAGUUUCAUGUGUACUUUAUUGUAAAAUCCUCUAAUUCUUAUGAUUUUAUAUUACCUUAGCAUUCAUUUAAAAUCUUCCUCUUUGUCUCACCUAAAGCACCCAAAGCUCCUUGAGAAAACUUAUGUUCUUUCUCUAUGCCUUUGAGAUGUAAAUCUCUCACCCUGUCUUCUCUAGGACUUGAUAGCAUUCUUUUGAAAAAAACUAUAAGAUAUUUGUAUCUAUCUGUAUGAUUGUUUAUGUUUAUACACAUAUACAUCUAUGAUAUCUGUUGUGUCCACAUGAUACAAAAUCCCUUCGUUGAAUUUCAAAUUGAUUUAAAAGACAAAUGAACAUGCAUAUAUUAAAUACUUUAGGCUCCUAAAAUUAUAGAUACUAACUCAAAUUAUUUUCAAAUUCAUAUGAAUUGAAUACAUUUUUUGUAAAUAAAACUAGCUUAAUAUUGUUGGUUUAAAAAACAGUAAAUCAAAUAGAUAUGAGUGAGAUAAAGAUGUAUCUCUUUGAUAACUACAUCCUUAGAAUUUUGCUAAGUUAAAUUAAAUGAUGGCUAUUCAUUUAAUAUCUAGUUCAUUUCUAAAGAAGAUAAAAGAUUGAAACAUUAAUUGCUCAACAUAGGUUUCAGUUUAUUUACAUUUGGCAUCUUACAUUUUAUAGAAAGAUAAAAUAUAUUUGGGCUUGUUAGCAAAUAUGUCCUUUUCCACAUUGGAAAUAUGUUCUAUCAGGAAAUCUAUGUUUCUAGAAGUCAUUAAGUAUAUAGUCAUAAAAUGGGUUGGUAUGUGACUUUGAAGUUGCUUACUUCCUAGAUUUUCACUAGAAAUUAAGAUUAUUAGGAUUAUGUCACUGAAUAUUAAUAUAUAUACUUAAAACUACUAAUAAUAAAGGAAACAAUUCUGUAUACAAAAUAUACAGGCAAAUUAAGAUGUUAUAAGGUAUAAACGUGUUUUUGUUGAGGAAAGAAAUCAUUUUGUCUAGGUACAGGUUAUUUAAAGGUUGACUCAAAAUAAGUAAAUGGAGAUAAGAAUGACUGAGCUAAACCUGAAUAAAUAUAGAAGGUUGGGAAAAGAAAGACAGUGAAAAAAAAUCCUGUGUCGUUAAACUGAUAAAAAUUUACUAAAUUUAAUAUAAGGGUUUUAAAAUUGAGACUUAUCAUUAAUAGUACACUGAUACAAAACUAGAAAUUGCUUUUUAAGGAUAUUCAUGUAGUAUUAAUAAGAGAUAAUAAAAGCUUUAUGUUCACCUUUGGAGUAAAGGACAAAAAGAAAAAAAAAAUUAGGGAAAGAGAGAAACAUGUUAUAUGUGCCUCAGUUAUCUUUACUAGGCCUUUUGAUUAUUUAGGAAAACUGAAUUAAAGAUAAGUUUUUCUACAAAAAAUGUAACUUCCUGUAUUUGCUUCUAAAAUAUUUUAGUUAUUACCCUGAAUUACUAGCAUUUCAUAUUUCCCUGUGAUUCUAUUUUUUAUCAAGUGUUUUAAUCAUUUGAUAUUUAGUAAACUUCUCAAAAAUCAAAAUUUGGGGACCUUCUUUGGUCUUUUUGAUGCCAAAAUAACUCUUGGAGUGCCAGUGGGCUCCUGAACACCUAAAGCACAGACAUUAAACUAAUCAACCUGAUUCAAUGUUUCAAAUUAUAUGGAAAGCAUUGUCAGGUAAGUGAUGCUAAAUGUUCUGCAUGUGUUAUUAAUGUUAGUGUUCCAAAACUGUAUGGGAUUACUAAAAAUCUAGUAUGUUGUCAGUUAUAAUUUUUGGAUAUUAUGUUAAAUUUUACAUUCUACAGAACUUACCACAUUUAUUUGUCCUCUAUGGGUGAUAAUAAGCUACCAUAAGACCUUUAACCAUGGCUACUUUAAGUCUCAUUGUUCACAGUUAAUUGUUUUAUUCUGAUACUCUUUCUAAAAGUGCUUUGCAAUCAGCUACAGUCUAAAAUUUGCUUAUUUUUCAAGGAGAAUUAUGGGAAAGACCCUAACAAGUGCCCUUGAAUAUAGAUUUCUGAUAACUUUAGAAUCAUGUCAUUGGACUGUAUAAGAAUUUCCAGAACUCUUAUGAAGAAACUGAUGGGUUCAUAAAACUCCCAACCUAACACCAAGCAAAACAAGAAUUAAUUACAUUGUACUGAAAUAAUUUUUAUGCCUUUUUUUCAUUGUUUGAAGCAUUACUGAUUCUUUUUACGUUUUGUUUUCUAAAGUUAAGAAAACUUUUUUUCUUAAACUGUCUAUAGGUUUAUAGCAAUUUGGUAAUCUAUACUUUUGUGAGCAACAUUUAAACAUUUAUCUUUCUCUUUACCUGACCCCUCCAGAUUUCAGAAACUAUUUGUGAGUAUUCUUAUUUUAUGGCAGUAUGGUUAUUUGUAUAAGUUCAAUAAGAAUCUGUUCUCUUGUAUAACAGAACACAAUUAGAAACACUGGUCAUUUUACCAAGGUUUUGAGCAUAAUGUCAUACCUUUAAAAUUGACCAGUGUGCUUUAAGAUAUUAAGGUUGACUUUAUGGAACCAAUAAAAAGGUUCCUGGAAAAACUGGCCUGGCACCUUAAAUACACAAUUCACAUGGUUGUCUUACAGGGAGGUAAAGAGUGCCACUUCUUAGCAGCUUCUGAAACGUCAGGAUAUUUUGAGAACCUCAAGCAGAGAGGAAUUCAUCCAGAUACUACAGAUAUUGCAGGGAGAUUUCAAGGUCAUAUCUUUGACUUGGUUUCCUAGUCUUGAGAUGCUUUAAAAAGAAGUCUAAUUUGAGAUUUCUUAUAAAAAGUUUCAGCAAAGCAGACUUUAAAAAGAGCCUGUAAUACCAAUCACUAUUCUUGCUAAACCAUGUAAAUAAUCUGUAUAAAUAAACUAUGUAAAUAAUCACACCAAAGACUAACCUUAUUUUGCAACCAAAUUAGUCUUAACAUAGACAUCUUUGGUAGAAGUGGAGGUGGAAGUAGAGAAAAAAUCGUGUUUUAGAAUAAAAUUAUAGUACACCUGUUAUUAGAUUUUAGAUAAUUAUUUUUGAGAUUUUAUUUUUUAUUUGUUAUCUGGACUGAAUACCAAAUAUUUUUAAUUUCAUCGUGUAUCUGGCUAUAAAUCUCCAAAACAUCAUUUCCAUUUUUUUUUCAACCUUUUGACUUGGAAUCACUAAUAAUUAAAACUGUUUUUCCUGAGGUUCUACGAGCUAAAGUGAGUAUAGUUGAGAAACAGACUCCAGAGAAACCACCACAGUGGCCUGUGUUUAGACAACCUUUAUGACAUUUAAACAGCAAAGUAGAUAACUCUGUCAGAUUGCCAUUGAUUACCCUGGUCCAGCUGAAGUUGAUUCAGCCCAGAUUCAAAAAUCUUCUCCACUGGCUACCCUCCAAACUCAGAGACUAACUUAAAGAUUGCUGCAGACAUUAUUAACCUUUGUUUUUGUUUCCAAAUAAAAAUCUCUAGUAAAA
This is a long non-coding RNA of Homo sapiens (human), 6004 nucleotides long. RefSeq lists it as uncharacterized. NCBI's taxonomy places the organism in Eukaryota, Metazoa, Chordata, Mammalia, Primates, Hominidae. The transcript has 5 exons. The record is from RefSeq and is a predicted model, not a curated record.